This 445-nucleotide ribosomal RNA is filed under the name uncultured bacterium. RNAcentral describes it as "partial 16S ribosomal RNA". It matches the Rfam family "Bacterial small subunit ribosomal RNA", at positions 29 to 507 of the family's 1533-position model. The record is from RNAcentral.
AACGAACGCUGGCGGCAGGCUUAACGCAUGCAAGUCGAACGAGCUGGGGGCUCUUGUCUCCGAUGCUAGUGGCGCACGGGUGAGUAACACGUGGGAAUAUGCUCUCUAGUACGGAAUAAUCAAGGGAAACUUUGGCUAAUACCGCAUACGCCCUUCGGGGGCAAGAUGUAUCGCUAAAGGAUUAGGCCGCGUCUGGUUAGGUAGUUGGUGGGGUUAUGGCUCACCAAGCCGACGAGCAGUAGCUGGUCUGAGAGGAUGAUCAGCCAGACUGGGACUGAGACACGGCCCAGACUCCGACGGGAGGCUGCAGUGGAGAAUAUUGGACAAUGGAGGCAACCCUGAUCAAGCCGCGCGGCGGAAGAGAAGAAGGCCUUCGGGUUGUAAAGCUCUUUCGACGGAGGCGAUAGUGACGGUACCCGUAUAAGAAGCCCCGGCUAACUACGUG